RNAcentral lists this ribosomal RNA (405 nucleotides) under uncultured soil bacterium. RNAcentral's name for it is "bacterial SSU rRNA". It matches the Rfam family "Bacterial small subunit ribosomal RNA", at positions 509 to 912 of the family's 1533-position model. The record is from RNAcentral.
CAGCCGCCGCGGUAAUACGUAGGGUGCGAGCGUUGUCCGGAAUUACUGGGCGUAAAGAGCUCGUAGGUGGUUUGUCGCGUUGUUCGUGAAAACUCACAGCUUAACUGUGGGCGUGCGGGCGAUACGGGCAGACUGGAGUACUGCAGGGGAGACUGGAAUUCCUGGUGUAGCGGUGGAAUGCGCAGAUAUCAGGAGGAACACCGGUGGCGAAGGCGGGUCUCUGGGCAGUAACUGACGCUGAGGAGCGAAAGCGUGGGGAGCGAACAGGAUUAGAUACCCUGGUAGUCCACGCCGUAAACGAUGGGCACUAGGUGCUUGGGGGAGCGACCCUCUGAGUGCCGGCGCUAACGCAUUAAGUGCCCCGCCUGGGGAGUACGGCCGCAAGGCUGAAACUCAAAGGAAUUG